Molecule: non-coding RNA, 1078 nt
Organism: Cinara cedri
Lineage: Eukaryota; Metazoa; Arthropoda; Insecta; Hemiptera; Aphididae
Source: the annotation of a GenBank genome assembly
UAAAACAUUUAAAUGUAUACGUAAUAUGCAAAAAAACUUGUACCAUAAUAUGACAUAUAUAUUGUUGACAAAGCAUCACUAUCAACUGAACUGCAUUCAGAAUCAUUUUUUCGUUAGCAAUGGUUUAUCGUUGCUUACAGAUAUACAUUAAAUUACCUAUAACAGUAACUGUACCCAUCUCCAUUAUCCUAGGACGUCUUUUUUAAUAUAGAUUAUAUAAAUUGUUUGAUUUUUUUUUCCAAUCUAAUUAAUAGAAUACAUAGGUAACUUUAUGUGCAUAAUAAUCAAAUAAAUUUCUGUUCUGUUCGUAACACAUAUUAUUUAAAGUUUUAUUUGUUAUUAAUAUUAUUGUUCCCAUAUAAUAACUUCUGAACAAAUGACAUACAUAAAAUUUGGAUACUUAGCAUAAUAUUGUCACAUUAAAAAAUAAUAUGUUAAAAGAAAAAAAUUGUUUUAUUAUGUUGCUAUACGAUUUGUAUUGCUAUAUUUCGUAACCCCUUCCCCUCGACAUUUUAUUUUGUGUGACUACCUGAUUAUUUAUUAUUCAGCCGUUUGGUUUUUCAACUAUUGCAAAUUAAAAAAAUCGAAAUUGAGUUUUUAAAUACAAUAUCUACUGCUUCAAUGAGAACUAUCGAGUUAUUUAAAUUCAUUUUUGCAAUGUAUUCGCAAGGAAAAUAAUCAUUCAUGAUAUUAUUUUGAUAUUAUGAAUUUUAUUGUUUGUUUGCCCAACUCUGAAUUCGUUGGUAAACUUGGUAAAACCUAUAGGCAAAUAAUUUAUAAUACCUAAUAAAUAGUAAUUAUCCAUAUAUUAAUUUACUAUUUUUCAAUAAUUAAAGACUUUCUACGGUUCACAGUGUGGCCGAUGACAUCUAAAGCUGACAAAAAUAGCACUUCUCAAAUCAAACUAUCUUAUCUUUUUAUUAUCAUACGUAAUCAGUAGAAGAGUUUAUUCCAUAGAAAAGGGUAUACAGACACACAGGCGCCAUCUAUCAGGGAAAUCUUUUAAUGUCCAUUCAUUUAUUUGUAACGUUUUCGAGUUUUAUUAGAAUUUCUUUUGAAUCUUGUACACCUAAAAAUU